GGAUAGCGGAGAAAUUCCAAUCGAACCCGGAUAUAGCUGGUUCUCCCCGAAAUAGUUUUAGGACUAGCCUCGUGAUUAAGAUUAUCGGAGGUAAAGCACUGAAUGGCCUAGGGGUCGAGAGAUUACCGAAGCCUAUCAAACUCUGAAUGCCGAAUAAUCAUGCACGGGAGUCAGACUGUGUGAGAUAAGUUUCAUAGUCGAAAGGGAAACAGCCCAGACCUACAGCUAAGGUCCCAAAGUACGUUUAAGUGGAAAACGAUGUGAAAUUGCGUAGACAACCAGGAUGUUGGCUUAGAAGCAGCCAUACAUUAAAAGAGUGCGUAAUAGCUCACUGGUCGAGUGACUUUGCGCGGAAAAUUUAACGGGGCUAAAACGUACACCGAAGCUUAGGCUUGUCACAAUGUGACAGGGGUAGGGGAGCGUUGAAUGAGGGGUGAAGUCGUAGCGAAAGCGACGGUGGACUUCAUUCAAGUGAGAAUGCCGGAAUGAGUAGCGAGAAUUAUGUGAGAAUCAUAAUGGCCGAAAGCCUAAGGUUUUUGGAGGAAGGUUCGUCCGCUCCAGGUAAGUCGGAAGCUAAGGUGAGGCUGAAAAGCGUAGCCGAUGCACAAACGGUUGAAAUUCCGUUACCACAGAAAGAUUUAAACUAAGGGACACUUUUGAAGAGCUGGUGCCGGGUGUUGGUUACCCCGGUCGUAAGGGAACGAAAUUAAGUAGUGAAGUCAGCGUGGAUGAAGGCGAGAAAAGCUUAGUGUAUAUCUUAUGUGUCCGUACCGCAAACCGACACAGGUAGGUAGGAAGAGAAUUCUAAGGCCAACGGGAGAAGGGUAGUUAAGGAACUCGGCAAAAUGUCCCCGUAACUUCGGAAUAAGGGGAGGUUUCUACGGAAACCCGCAGAGAAUAGUCCCAGGCAACUGUUUAUCAAAAACACAGCUCUAUGCUAAAUCGAAAGAUGACGUAUAUGGGGUGACGCCUGCCCGGUGCCGGAAGGUUAAGAGGAGGAGUGAGAGCCCUGAAUCGAAGCCCCGGUAAACGGCGGCCGUAACUAUAACGGUCCUAAGGUAGCGAAAUUCCUUGUCAGGUAAGUUCUGACCCGCACGAAUGGCGUAAUGAUCUGGGAGCUGUCUCAACUGCCCGCCCGGCGAAAUUGUAGUACCGGUGAAGAUGCCGGUUACCCGCGACUAGACGGAAAGACCCCAUGGAGCUUUACUGUAGCUUAAUAUUGGAUUUCGGCAUUUCAUGUACAGGAUAGGUGGGAGACUAGGAAACAUAGGCGUCAGCUUAUGUGGAGUCGUCCUUGGGAUACCACUCUUGGAGUGCUGAAAUUCUAACCUGCAGCCCUGAAUCGGGUUGGGGGACAUUGUUAGGUGGGCAGUUUGACUGGGGCGGUCGCCUCCAAAAAGGUAACGGAGGCGCUCAAAGGUUGGCUCAGCAUGGAUGGAAACCAUGCCAUAGAGUGCAAACGCAAAAGCCAGCCUGACUGCGAGACUGACGGGUCGAGCAGAAACGAAAGUUGGAGUUAGUGAUCCGGCGGUAUGUGAAUGGAAAUGCCGUCGCUCA
This 1557-nucleotide ribosomal RNA is filed under the name human gut metagenome. Its description in RNAcentral is "bacterial LSU rRNA". It matches the Rfam family "Bacterial large subunit ribosomal RNA", at positions 813 to 2451 of the family's 2925-position model. The record is from RNAcentral.